UGAGGACCUAUACUGNGACCUAGGACAUGGU
RNAcentral lists this non-coding RNA (31 nucleotides) under Rattus norvegicus (Norway rat). Lineage: Eukaryota; Metazoa; Chordata; Mammalia; Rodentia; Muridae. The record is from RNAcentral.